UACGGAGGGGGCUAGCGUUGUUCGGAAUUACUGGGCGUAAAGCGCACGUAGGCGGCUUUGUAAGUUAGAGGUGAAAGCCCAGGGCUUAACCCUGGAAUUGCCUUUAAGACUGCAUCGCUAGAAUCGUGGAGAGGUGAGUGGAAUUCCGAGUGUAGAGGUGAAAUUCGUAGAUAUCGGGAGGAACACCUGUGGUGUAGACAGCUUACUGGACCAUUUCUGACGCUGAGACACGAAAGCGUGGGUAGCAAACAGG
Molecule: ribosomal RNA, 253 nt
Filed under: uncultured bacterium
Lineage: Bacteria
Description: partial 16S ribosomal RNA
Rfam family: Bacterial small subunit ribosomal RNA
Source: RNAcentral